This 2923-nucleotide ribosomal RNA is filed under the name Campylobacter coli. RNAcentral's name for it is "23S ribosomal RNA". It matches the Rfam family "Bacterial large subunit ribosomal RNA". The record is from RNAcentral. Lineage: Bacteria; Pseudomonadati; Campylobacterota; Epsilonproteobacteria; Campylobacterales; Campylobacteraceae.
AAAAAAGGUAAGCUACUAAGAGCGAAUGGUGGAUGCCUUGACUGGUAAAGGCGAUGAAGGACGUACUAGACUGCGAUAAGCUACGGGGAGCUGUCAAGAAGCUUUGAUCCGUAGAUUUCCGAAUGGGGCAACCCAAUGUAUAGAGAUAUACAUUACCUAUAUAGGAGCGAACGAGGGGAAUUGAAACAUCUUAGUACCCUCAGGAAAAGAAAUCAAUAGAGAUUGCGUCAGUAGCGGCGAGCGAAAGCGUAAGAGGGCAAACCCAGUGCUUGCACUGGGGGUUGUAGGACUGCAAUGUGCAAGAGGUGAGUUUAGCAGAACAUUCUGGAAAGUAUAGCCAUAGAGGGUGAUAGUCCCGUAUGCGAAAAACAAACCUUAGCUAGCAGUAUCCUGAGUAGGGCGGGACACGAGAAAUCCUGUCUGAAGCUGGGUCGACCACGAUCCAACCCUAAAUACUAAUACCAGAUCGAUAGUGCACAAGUACCGUGAGGGAAAGGUGAAAAGAACUGAGGUGAUCAGAGUGAAAUAGAACCUGAAACCAUUUGCUUACAAUCAUUCAGAGCACUAUGUAGCAAUACAGUGUGAUGGACUGCCUUUUGCAUAAUGAGCCUGCGAGUUGUGGUGUCUGGCAAGGUUAAGCAAACGCGAAGCCGUAGCGAAAGCGAGUCUGAAUAGGGCGCUUAGUCAGAUGCUGCAGACCCGAAACGAAGUGAUCUAUCCAUGAGCAAGUUGAAGCUAGUGUAAGAACUAGUGGAGGACUGAACCCAUAGGCGUUGAAAAGCCCCGGGAUGACUUGUGGAUAGGGGUGAAAGGCCAAUCAAACUUCGUGAUAGCUGGUUCUCUCCGAAAUAUAUUUAGGUAUAGCGUUGUGUCGUAAUAUAAGGGGGUAGAGCACUGAAUGGGCUAGGGCAUACACCAAUGUACCAAACCCUAUCAAACUCCGAAUACCUUAUAUGUAAUCACAGCAGUCAGGCGGCGAGUGAUAAAAUCCGUCGUCAAGAGGGAAACAACCCAGACUACCAGCUAAGGUCCCUAAAUCUUACUUAAGUGGAAAACGAUGUGAAGUUACUUAAACAACCAGGAGGUUGGCUUAGAAGCAGCCAUCCUUUAAAGAAAGCGUAAUAGCUCACUGGUCUAGUGAUUUUGCGCGGAAAAUAUAACGGGGCUAAAGUAAGUACCGAAGCUGUAGACUUGACUUUGUCAAGUGGUAGGAGAGCGUUCUAUUUGCGUCGAAGGUAUACCGGUAAGGAGUGCUGGAGCGAAUAGAAGUGAGCAUGCAGGCAUGAGUAGCGAUAAUUAAUGUGAGAAUCAUUAACGCCGUAAACCCAAGGUUUCCUACGCGAUGCUCGUCAUCGUAGGGUUAGUCGGGUCCUAAGUCGAGUCCGAAAGGGGUAGACGAUGGCAAAUUGGUUAAUAUUCCAAUACCAACAUUAGUGUGCGAUGGAAGGACGCUUAGGGCUAAGGGGGCUAGCGGAUGGAAGUGCUAGUCUAAGGUCGUAGGUGCUUAUACAGGCAAAUCCGUAUAAGAAUACACCGAGAACUGAAAGGCUUUUUGAAGUCUUCGGAUGGAUAGAAGAACCCCUGAUGCCGUCGAGCCAAGAAAAGUUUCUAAGUUUAGCUAAUGUUGCCCGUACCGUAAACCGACACAGGUGGGUGGGAUGAGUAUUCUAAGGCGCGUGGAAGAACUCUCUUUAAGGAACUCUGCAAAAUAGCACCGUAUCUUCGGUAUAAGGUGUGGUUCGCUUCGUAUUAGGAUUUACUCCGAAAGCGAAGAAACUUACAACAAAGAGUCCCUCCCGACUGUUUACCAAAAACACAGCACUCUGCUAACUCGUAAGAGGAUGUAUAGGGUGUGACGCCUGCCCGGUGCUCGAAGGUUAAUUGAUGGGGUUAGCAUUAGCGAAGCUCUUGAUCGAAGCCCGAGUAAACGGCGGCCGUAACUAUAACGGUCCUAAGGUAGCGAAAUUCCUUGUCGGUUAAAUACCGACCUGCAUGAAUGGCGUAACGAGAUGGGAGCUGUCUCAAAGAGGGAUCCAGUGAAAUUGUAGUGGAGGUGAAAAUUCCUCCUACCCGCGGCAAGACGGAAAGACCCCGUGGACCUUUACUACAGCUUGACACUGCUACUUGGAUAAGAAUGUGCAGGAUAGGUGGGAGGCUUUGAGUAUAUGACGCCAGUUGUAUAUGAGCCAUUGUUGAGAUACCACUCUUUCUUAUUUGGGUAGCUAACCAGCUUGAGUUAUCCUCAAGUGGGACAAUGUCUGGUGGGUAGUUUGACUGGGGCGGUCGCCUCCCAAAUAAUAACGGAGGCUUACAAAGGUUGGCUCAGAACGGUUGGAAAUCGUUCGUAGAGUAUAAAGGUAUAAGCCAGCUUAACUGCAAGACAUACAAGUCAAGCAGAGACGAAAGUCGGUCUUAGUGAUCCGGUGGUUCUGUGUGGAAGGGCCAUCGCUCAAAGGAUAAAAGGUACCCCGGGGAUAACAGGCUGAUCUCCCCCAAGAGCUCACAUCGACGGGGAGGUUUGGCACCUCGAUGUCGGCUCAUCGCAUCCUGGGGCUGGAGCAGGUCCCAAGGGUAUGGCUGUUCGCCAUUUAAAGCGGUACGCGAGCUGGGUUCAGAACGUCGUGAGACAGUUCGGUCCCUAUCUGCCGUGGGCGUAAGAAGAUUGAAGAGAUUUGACCCUAGUACGAGAGGACCGGGUUGAACAAACCACUGGUGUAGCUGUUGUUCUGCCAAGAGCAUCGCAGCGUAGCUAAGUUUGGAAAGGAUAAACGCUGAAAGCAUCUAAGCGUGAAGCCAACUCUAAGAUGAAUCUUCUCUAAGCUCUCUAGAAGACUACUAGUUUGAUAGGCUGGGUGUGUAAUGGAUGAAAGUCCUUUAGCUGACCAGUACUAAUAGAGCGUUUGGCUUAUCUUUAAUAAAGCAU